UAAGGAAUAUUGGUCAAUGGACGAAAGUCUGAACCAGCCAUGCCGCGUGAAGGAUGACUGCCCUCUGGGUUGUAAACUUCUUUUAUGGGGGACGAAAAAAGGGAAUUCUUUUCCGUCUGACGGUACCCUAUGAAUAAGCACCGGCUAACUCCGUGCCAGCAGCCGCGGUAAUACGGAGGGUGCAAGCGUUAUCCGGAUUCACUGGGUUUAAAGGGAGCGCAGGCGGGCUUGUAAGUCAGUGGUGAAAUACCUGAGCUUAACUCGGGAACUGCCAUUGAUACUAUAGGUCUUGAAUGUUGUUGAGGUUUGCGGAAUGGGUCAUGUAGCGGUGAAAUGCAUAGAUAUGACCCGGAACACCUAUUGCGAAGGCAGCAGGCUAAACAAAUAUUGACGCUGAGGCUCGAAAGCGUGGGGAUCAAAC
This 421-nucleotide ribosomal RNA is filed under the name uncultured bacterium. RNAcentral describes it as "bacterial SSU rRNA". It matches the Rfam family "Bacterial small subunit ribosomal RNA", at positions 355 to 773 of the family's 1533-position model. The record is from RNAcentral.